AAGCAGAGGGGGCUUAGUGGUGGGGUGACUGCGUACCUUUUGUAUAAUGGGUCAGCGACUUAUAUUCUGUAGCAAGGUUAACCGUAUAGGGGAGCCGGAGGGAAACCGAGUCUUAAUUGGGCGUUAAGUUGCAGGGUAUAGACCCGAAACCCGGUGAUCUAGCCAUGGGCAGGUUGAAGGUUGGGUAACACUAACUGGAGGACCGAACCGACUAAUGUUGAAAAAUUAGCGGAUGACCUGUGGCUGGGGGUGAAAGGCCAAUCAAACCGGGAGAUAGCUGGUUCUCCCCGAAAGCUAUUUAGGUAGCGCCUCGUGAAUUCAUCUCCGGGGGUAGAGCACUGUUUCGGCUAGGGGGCCAUCCCGGCUUACCAACCCGAUGCAAACUGCGAAUACCGGAGAAUGUUAUCACGGGAGACACACGGCGGGUGCUAACGUCCGUCGUGAAGAGGGAAACAACCCAGACCGCCAGCUAAGGUCCCAAAGUCAUGGUUAAGUGGGAAACGAUGUGGGAAGGCCCAGACAGCCAGGAUGUUGGCUUAGAAGCAGCCAUCAUUUAAAGAAAGCGUAAUAGCUCACUGGUCGAGUCGGCCUGCGCGGAAGAUGUAACGGGGCUAAACCAUG
Molecule: ribosomal RNA, 621 nt
Filed under: Salmonella enterica
Lineage: Bacteria; Pseudomonadati; Pseudomonadota; Gammaproteobacteria; Enterobacterales; Enterobacteriaceae
Also listed under: 2 other names
Description: partial 23S ribosomal RNA
Rfam family: Bacterial large subunit ribosomal RNA
Source: RNAcentral